GAUGAACGCUGGCGGCGUGCUUAACACAUGCAAGUCGAACGGGAAACCUUUUAAUGAAGCUUCGGCAGAUUUAGCUGGUUUCUAGUGGCGGACGGGUGAGUAACGCGUGGGUAACCUGCCUUAUACAGGGGGAUAACAGUCAGAAAUGACUGCUAAUACCGCAUAAGCGCACAGGACCGCAUGGUCCGGUGUGCAAAACUCCGGUGGUAUAAGAUGGACCCGCGUUGGAUUAGCUUGUUGGUGGGGUAACGGCUCACCAAGGCGACGAUCCAUAGCCGGCCUGAGAGGGUGAACGGCCACAUUGGGACUGAGACACGGCCCAGACUCCUACGGGAGGCAGCAGUGGGGAAUAUUGCACAAUGGGGGAAACCCUGAUGCAGCGACGCCGCGUGAAGGAAGAAGUAUCUCGGUAUGUAAACUUCUAUCAGCAGGGAAGAUAGUGACGGUACCUGACUAAGAAGCCCCGGCUAACUACGUG
This 478-nucleotide ribosomal RNA is filed under the name uncultured bacterium. RNAcentral describes it as "partial 16S ribosomal RNA". It matches the Rfam family "Bacterial small subunit ribosomal RNA", at positions 28 to 507 of the family's 1533-position model. The record is from RNAcentral.